Mesoplodon densirostris (Blainville's beaked whale) is the source of this 6397-nucleotide long non-coding RNA. RefSeq lists it as uncharacterized. The record is from RefSeq and is a predicted model, not a curated record. The transcript is spliced from 5 exons. Lineage: Eukaryota; Metazoa; Chordata; Mammalia; Artiodactyla; Ziphiidae.
CCCUAUGCACGUGGCCACACGCUUCCGCUUAAAGAGAGCGGAGGAUCUCCGCGCCGGGGGGGAGAAGCGGGACCCUCACAGCUUUGUAAUUGGAAGACUACCCUAAUCUGUUCUGAACGUGCAUGAAAAUGGAAGAAACACCUGAUAUUACGCCUCUCCAUGCUUCAGUUUCUUCAGCAGUACUCCAGUGACGAUGAUCUGUAAGUGGAAAAAACUGAAAUCUCUACAGCCAGUGUAAGCCUGCCAACCUUUGCCUCCAUUGAGUGCCCAGGAGAAUCAAAUGGCUCUGAUCCAGGCUUACAGUCAUAUCUUGAUUCAUCAUCUCCUCUCUUUCAAGAAAUAGUUUCCUACUACUAUUUAAGCAAAUCUUUGCAGAUUCGUGCUGGAUUAUCUCGUGUGCCAAGAGGAUUCUUGAUGCUGUGCAGUAAAUUGCUAAGCUCUGUGGUAGCCUUGAAAACCAACAGCCUGCAAUCGCAGUGAAAACAAGAAGCCUGGAAACCGCAGGAGGGAGCAGAAUGGGGCUGGAGUUGCUUCAAAGCCUCAUUUCCAGUGAAAUGUCAUUAUUUGACCUUUCUGGUGGUUCCCUUAAAGACUUGCAAGACUGUCUUUAUUUUACCUGACUCAGGGCUCACUCAGUGCAAAAAGUCUUUCCCAAUGAACAUUAAAAAAAAAAAUUAGGUGGAAUUGUUUAACUUUGUGGCUACUGGAAACAUUAGAAAACAGUUGGGGCAAACAAUAGGCUAAGAAAAGCUAGGGAAUGAGAUGUCCAUAGAGAUUCUAAAAAACUGACAUAUUCCUGGGAAUCUAGAAGUCCAUGUGCAUGCAUAGGGCUGUGCACAUGAUCAGGAAAAACAUAAGAAGGCCCUAAGUUCUCUUUUCUGGCUGACCUUCAGGCUCUGUGAAAAUAGGAAAUUAAAACUCGGGUAUAGUUGUCAAUUGCCUGGCUGAGCAUUGAAGGGAUGCUCCAACAUGCUCACAGAGACCCUUGGCACAAACUGGAAGACUUACUGGUUCUGGCAUUUAAGGAAAUCUCUCUCCAAUCCUUAGCUGACCACUAAGCUAACUGAGUAGAGACUUUAGUGGUCACAUAUGUCAAAGAAUACAGACUAUACCUUUAGGAAAAGUCACUAAACAACAAAAACAACAAAUAGCAACAAUAAACACUGAGGUUGGGGUGAAGAAUUUGACUUCCAGAGAUGCCAUUUUAUAUUAUUUUAAAUGUCCAGUUUUCAAGAAAAAAUGACAUGCUGAGUAACAUUAAAGUAUGACUCCUAUACAUGGGAAAAAGCCAAGCAAUCAAUAGAAAUAGAAAUUGUCCCUGAGGAAGCCCAGAUGUUGAACUUAGUAGACAAAACUUUAGCUAUUUUAGGUAUGUUCAAAGAACCAAAGUAAACCAUGUCUACAGAACUAAAGGAAAGUAUGAAAAAGAUGUCUCACCAAAUAAAAAAUAUAAAGAGAUAGAAAUUAUAGAAAAGAACCAAGUAGAAGUUUUGUAGUUGAACAAUAACUGAAGUCAAAAUUUACUACAGAGGCUCAACUGUAGAUUUCAGUAGAUAGAGGAAAGAAUCAGUGAACCUGAAAACAGUUUAUUGAGAUUAUCCAGAGGCAUAUAAAGAAAAAUGAAGCAGAAAAUGAACAGGCUCAGAUACGUACAGGACAUCCUAAAACAUACCAAUGCAUGAAUGAUGGAAGUCUCAGAAGAGAAGAAGAGAGAAAUAGGGGUAGAAAGAAUAUUUCAAAAAAUAAUGGCUGAAAGUGUGCCAAAUUUGAUGAAAAACAUUAAUCUCCACAUCCAAGAAGCUCAAUGAAUUCCCCUAGACACAUCAUAAUCAAACUGUUGAAAGCUAAAGACAAAGAGAGAAUCCUGAAUGCAAAGAGAAGAGACUCAUCAUAUUCAAGGGAUGAGAUGUUUCAUCAAAAACCAUAAAGGUGAGAGGCAGUAGGAUGACAUAUUCAGAGUGCUGAAGGAAAAAGACUGUCAACCAAAAAUUCUAUAUCCAAUAAAACUAUCCUUCAAAAAGGAGGAAAAAAGACAUUCCCAGAUAAACAAAAGCUGAGGCAAUUUAUCAUUAGCAAACUUCCCUAGAAAAAUAAUAAAGGGAGUCCUUUGGACUGAAAUAAAGGAUACUAGGCAGAAACUUGAGUCCACAUGAAGAAAUAAAGAGCACUGGUAAAGAUAACUAUACAGGUAACUAUAAAAGAGAGUAUAGAUCCCAAACAGCCAAACAAUCUUGAAAAAGGACAACAAACUUGGAGGUCUCACACUUCACUUUCAAAACUUACUACAAAGCUACAGUAAUCAAAACAGUGUGGUACUGGCAUACAGACAGACAUAUAGACCAAUGGAGUAGAGUGCAGGAAUAAACCCUCACAUACAUGGUUAAAUAAUUUUUGAGAAGGGUGCCAAGGCCAUUCCCUAAGGAAGGAAUAGUGCUGGGAAAAUUUGAUAUCCACAUGCAAAAGAAUGAAGUUAGACUCUUACCUACAUCAUAAACAAAAAUUAACUCAAAAUGGAUCAGAUAAUUAAAUGUAAGACCUCAAAUUAUAAAACUCUUUAAGAAAACAUAUGGGAAAUGCUUCAUGACAUUUGAUUUGACACUGAUUUCUUGGAGAUGAAACCAAAAGCAAGGUAAAACAACAACAACAACAAAACCCUGAUAAAUUGGACUACAUCAAAAUUAAAGACAUCUGUACAAAAAUCAACAGAGUGAAAAGGCAGAAUGGGAGAAAAUAUUUGCAAAUCACAUAUAUGAUAAGGGAUUAACAUUUAGAAUGCAUAAAGAACUCCCAUAACUCAACAACAACAACACAACAAAAAUAAGCAACCCAAUUCAAAAAUGGGCAAAAGACAUUUUUCCAAAGGAGAUAUGUAAGCCAGUUUCGCCAAAGUAGAUACAUAUAAGCCAAUGAGCACAUGAAAAGAUGCUCAACAUCUGUAAUCAUUAAGGAAAUGCAAGUCAAAACACAGUUAUCUGCCACUUCACACCCAUUAGGAUGGCUGUUAUCAAACAAGCAGAAUAUAACAAAUGUGAGGGAGGAUGUGGAGAAAUUGGAAUCCUGUGUACUAGUGGUGGGAAUGUGAAAUGGUGUACCUGCUAUGGAAAACAGUAUAGCAAUUCCUCAUAAAGUUAAACAUAAAAUUACCAUAUGAUCCAGCAAUUUCACUUCUGGGUAUAUAUGGAAAUAAAUUAAAGGCAGGGACUCUUUAAUCCAUUUGGAGUUUAUUUUUGUGUUUGGUGUUAGGUAGUGUUCUAAUUUCAGUUUUUUACAUGUAGCUGUCCAGUUUUCCCAGCACCACUUAUUGAAGAGGCUGUCUUUUCUCCACUGUAUGUUCUUGCCUUCUUUGUCAUAAAUUAGGUGGCCAUUAUGUGUGUGGGUUUAUCUCUGGGCUUUCUAUCCUGUACCAUUGACCUAUAUUUCUGUUUUUGUGCCAGUACCCUACUGUCUUUUUUUAAAUUAUUUAAUUUAUUUAUUUUUGGCUGCGUUGGGUCUUCGUUGCUACUUGCGGGCUUUCUCUAGUUGUAGCGAGCGGGAGCUACUCUUUGUUGUGGUGCUUGGGCUUCUCAUUGCAGUGGAUUCUCUUGUUGCGGAGCAUGGCCUCUAAGCCCACGGGCUUCAGUAGUUGUGGCUCACGGGCUCUAGAGCGCAGCCUCAGUAGUUGUGGUGCACGGGCUUAGUGGUUCCAUGGCAUGUGGGAUCUUCCCAGACCAGGGCCCAACCCCCUGUCCCCUGCAUUGGCAGGUGGAUUCUUAACCACUGUGCCACCAGGGAAGCCCCAUACUGUCUUGAUUACUGUGGCUCUGUAGUAUAGUUUGAAGUCAGGGAGCCUGAUUUCUCCAGCUCCGUUUUUCUUUCUCAAGAUUGCUUUGGCUAUUCAGGGUCUUUUGUGUUUCCAUACAAAUUGUAAAAUUUUUUGUUCUAAUUCUGUGAAGAAUGCCAUUGUUAAUUUGAUAGGGAUUGCACUGAAUCUGUAGAUUGCUUUGGGUAGUAUAGUCAUUUUCACAAUAUUGAUUCUUCCAAUCCAAGAACAUGGUAUAUUUCCCCAUCUGUUUAUGUCAUCUUUGAUUUCUUUGAUCAUUAUUUUACAGUUUUCUGAGUACAAGUCUUGCGCCAAAUGUAAAAUAGCUGGUGGGAAGCAGCAGCGUAGCACAGGGAGAUCAGCUCGGUGCUGUGCGACGACCUAGAGGGGUGGGAUAGGGAGGAUGCGAGGAGGGCUCAAGAGGGAGGGGAUAUAUGGAUGUAUAUAUGCAUAUGGCUGAUUCAUUUUGUUGUGCAACAGGGGCUAACUCAGUAUUGUGAAGCAGUUAUACUCCAAUAAAGAUAUCUUUUUUUAAAAAGGCAGGGGCUCAAACAGAUAUUUGUACACCUAUGUUUAUAGCAGCAUUAUUCACAAUAGAAAAAGGUGGAAGCAACCCAAGUAUCCAUCUGGAUAAACAAAAUGUGGUAUAUACAUACAAUGGAAAUUAUUCAGCCUUAAAAAGGAAAGAAAUUCUGACACAUGCUACAACAUGGAUUAACCUUGAAGACAUUAUGCUAAGCGAAGAAAGCCAGACAAAAAAGUUCAAAUACUAUAUGCUUCCACUUAUAGUAGGUAUCUAGAGUAGUCAAAUUAAUAGAGAGAUAGAAAGUAGAAUGGUAGGUUUUUAGGGACUGGGGAAGGGAGGAAUGGGGAAUUACUGUUUAAUGGAUCAGAGUUUCAGUCUUAGAUGAUGAAAAAAGUUCUAGAGAUGACUGGUGGUGAUAGUUGCACAGCAGUGUGAUUGUACUUAAUGCUACUGAAGAGUACACUUAAAGAUGGUUAAAAUGAUAAAUUUUAUAUAUAUUUUACCACAAUUAAAAAUAAUAAGUAUGCUCAUUAUCCCUUACAGCUAACCAUCCCACUUCUGGGAACAGGUCCUAGAGAUAUUCCACAAAAUAUGUAUAUGGACAAGACAUGCAUACUGUUUGUAUUAGGGAAAAGAUUGGAAACAACUUAAACACCCAUGAAUAGAGGACUGGAUGGAUGAAUAAACUGUAGGAUAUUCUUAACUGAAAUGACCAUGGUUCGUUUUCUGAGAGAAUGUGGCAAAGAAGAAUACAGUGACUUUUAGUAGAUUAGUAGUGUAGCGUUUGGUACUAGAUUCAAGCUAAGGUACUAGCAAUUUUAACCACCAACAGUACAAAUGUCAACUCAGUGAAAAGGGCAGGGUUUUUUUCCCCCACAAUAGGCAUUAGAAAGAAAAGAAUGUCAUAAAACUUGGCUACUCAUAAAAUUUUUAAUUCCUAUAAUUCCAGUGUAUUCCCAAAUCCUAGCUCAUGCCUGGCACAUAGUAGGCAUUCAAUUUGCUGAAUUUAUUCAUUUUUUCCCAAGGGUAGCCUUUAGGGAGGGCAGGCCCAGAGAGAUGGUAUUAAGAUGAUUUGCCUGGGAAGUCAUUUAGCAAAACAUCUAAGUGUCCCCACCUAAGUGUGAAACUCUCAUUAGGUCCAGUAAGGGAAUCCAAAAGAAAUAGCUUCCUCCAUGUACUCUAGUUAGAGAGAACAUAUUCUCACAUGAAAAUCGCUUAAGGUUUAUAAAAACGUGCACCAAGAAUAAGGAGUUAUCAGGAUUAGUGGGACAAAUGAAGGAAACUAGGAGGAUUCAUUAUACCUUGAGGGGAUGUAAUAUUCACAGUUCCUUUCUAAUUUAUUUAAGUAAAAUGCAGAUCUAGUCUGGGCACCCCAGUACUUUAAGAAGUGUUAUUUUCCAGCCAUCUAAAAUUUUAAGAUCACUGGAUGGUGAAAACAUUUAUGGGGUGGGAACUGAUUUCAGGUCAUGCACCUCUCCAUGGUAGAGGCAAUUGCUUGUUCUAGGGAACUAGGAUGAUACCCGCAGCUGCUGCAACCUUUCAAUUCACCAAUCCAGGUUUCACAGCUGACCCAUUAACUGGUAUCAUCAAGUUGAAAAUUCCUUAUCUCAUUCAAUGAUUUUCAAUUUUUACUAUUUCCACUCCCCACAUCUCACACACACACACACACACACACACACACAUCACACACACACACAUACACACACACACACACACACACACAUCCUUUAUCCCACCAACCAUUUGUGGUUAACUUUGACAUCCUGUUGUAAUUUUUUUUUGGUCAGUUUCUAAAUACCUUGCCAUGCGCACUGAGGUCUGGUCAUCACCCUGAUAAUAUCCUCAAAUUCAAAAGCACCAUCAAUAUGUAUUCCUUUUCCUGAAACAUUUCUCUUUAGCUAUUCUACUUUAGAAACUUGAGCAAGUUACUUGUAGGUCUUAAAAAGAGGGGGCUGGACUAGGUUAGAGGUUUCCAAACUUUUCUUAUCUUGACACAUAGUAAUAAAUACAUUUUUAUAUCAUGAUAAGGUUCACACAAACAUAUAUUUAACUGAAAACUUUUACAAAACACU